GACGAACGCUGGCGGCGUGCUUAACACAUGCAAGUCGAACGGAAAGGCCCCUUCGGGGGUACUCGAGUGGCGAACGGGUGCGUAACACGUGAGUAACCUGCCCUUGACUUCGGGAUAACUUCAGGAAACUGGGGCUAAUACCGGAUAGGAAUCCUUGCUGCAUGGUGGGGGUUGGAAAGCUUCGGCGGUUUUGGAUGGACUCGCGGCUUAUCAGCUUGUUGGUGGGGUAGUGGCUUACCAAGGCUUUGACGGGUAGCCGGCCUGAGAGGGCGACCGGCCACAUUGGGACUGAGAUACGGCCCAGACUCCUACGGGGGGCAGCAGUGGGGAAUAUUGCACAAUGGGCGGAAGCCUGAUGCAGCAACGCCGCGUGCGGGAUGACGGCCUUCGGGUUGUAAACCGCUUUCAGCAGGGGCGAAGCUUGUGGUGACGGUACCUGCAGAAGAAGCACCGGCUAACUACGUG
RNAcentral lists this ribosomal RNA (465 nucleotides) under uncultured bacterium. RNAcentral's name for it is "partial 16S ribosomal RNA". It matches the Rfam family "Bacterial small subunit ribosomal RNA", at positions 28 to 507 of the family's 1533-position model. The record is from RNAcentral.